RNAcentral lists this transfer RNA (70 nucleotides) under Dipodomys ordii (Ord's kangaroo rat). It matches the Rfam family "tRNA". Rfam says of the family: Transfer RNA (tRNA) molecules are approximately 80 nucleotides in length. Their secondary structure includes four short double-helical elements and three loops (D, anti-codon, and T loops). Lineage: Eukaryota; Metazoa; Chordata; Mammalia; Rodentia; Heteromyidae. The record is from Rfam by way of RNAcentral.
GGGAAGGUGGCUCAGUGGUAGAGUGCUUGCCUUGCAUGCAUGAGGCCCCGGGUUCGAUUCCUCAGUACCA